GUCGGCGUAGCUCAGAUGGUUAGAGCGUGGGACUCAUAAGCCCAAGGUCGGAAGUUCGAUUCUUCCCGCCGACA
Molecule: transfer RNA, 74 nt
Filed under: Parcubacteria bacterium RAAC4_OD1_1
Lineage: Bacteria; Candidatus Parcubacteria
Rfam family: tRNA
About the family: Transfer RNA (tRNA) molecules are approximately 80 nucleotides in length.
Source: Rfam by way of RNAcentral